RNA transcript from Gadus macrocephalus (Pacific cod), 4754 nucleotides. It is a transcript of the gene named RNA binding motif protein 12Bb, with no coding region annotated. The transcript is spliced from 8 exons. The record is from RefSeq and is a predicted model, not a curated record. Lineage: Eukaryota; Metazoa; Chordata; Actinopteri; Gadiformes; Gadidae.
GCCAUGGCCAAACUACAAGUUGCGAAAGCUCCCCCAUCUGGCGGGGCUCAAGGCCACAACAAGAGGACUCACUCACUACAGGAACGUGGCGUGGGACGGGCCUGCAUUUAUCUAAUAGAUCAAGUUUGGUUUCUGCUGAAAGUACAUUUCUCAUCAGUGCUAGCCGUUUGUGUGCUGUUGUUUUUGCGUCGGCAUGGCGGUGGUCAUCCGUUUACAGGGCCUUAGAAUCACAGCAGGUUCUGAGGACAUUCGCAAUUUCUUCACUGGCCUAAAAAUCCCUGAUGGUGGGGUGCAUAUUAUUGGUGGGGAGAAUGAAGAGGCUUUCAUCAUCUUUGCUUCUGAUGAAGAUGCAAGAAGAGCCAUGAUACGUUCAGGAGGCUGUAUCAAGGGGUCCCCUGUUAACUUGCUGCUGAGCAGUAAAUCGGAAAUGCAGAGCCUUCUGGAAGAAAGUACAAAAAACGCAGAGCUGGAUCAGAAGAGACCACUGAAGGAAGAUUCAAGACGACUCCAUGGUGAUGUUCCAGUGGGACCUAGAAGAACUAACCACCCAGAUGCAGGCAGGAGUUCGGGUGGCAGGGCAGGUCAUUCUCUGACCAGGUACCGGAGGACUGCAUCUCCCUCCAAUGAUGACUUGUACGUGUUUCUGAAGGGAAUGCCCUUCUCGGUGACUGAAUCUGAUGUGAGACAGUUUUUUGAUGGUUUGCUGGUUGAUGGCAUAAUCUUAAUGAAAAAUGGGCGUGGUCAAAAUAAUGGGCUAGGGCUUGUUAAAUUUGCAACAAGACAGGAUGCAAGAGAUGGCAUAAAGAGAGAUAGGGGAUACAUUGGUUCACGGUUUGUGGAAGUGUAUUUGGCAACUGAACAACAAUGGCAUGAGCUUGGUGGUGUUGGAGGUUACAACAAUAAUGGCAAGUUUGAAAAAGGAAAGUCACCACAGGAACUUGCAAGGCAUCCACGUCGCCUGAGAUCACGAUCCCCUUUAGCCAUCCUGCCCAACUCUGCUUGCACUGAAGAGUUUUGUGUUUUGCUGGAAAAUCUGUCUUAUUCAACUGUUAAAAGAAACAUUAAAGAACUUUUCCACCAUGCAAGGCUUCAGGAUGACCAGAUACUGUACCUGCUAGACAGAGGGGGUAGGAGAACAAGAUCAGCAUUUGUGCUCUUUAAAAGCCUAAGCAACUACUGUGCUGCCUUGACUCGCCACAAAGAAGAAUUCCUCAACAGGAAUGUGUAUAUAUCUCCUAUAUCAAGAGAGAAGAUGCUCUCCAUUCUGGAGUCAUGUAACCCCAAGGAUGGACCUUGUGAGGCGACGGAAAGAUUUAAAGGAAGCCCUCCAAGUCGGCAAGGAGAUCCAUACAACUCUGAGAAAGUGUGUCUCUAUGUUCAGAAUAUGCCCUUUGAUGUGCGAAAAGUCGAGAUCAUGGACUUCUUCUUCGGGUUGAAUAUAACUGAGGAUAGUGUUCUCUUGCUUCGUGACCACAAAGGAGCGGGUAUUGGAGAGGCUUUGGUUGUCUUUCAGUUUGAAGGAGAGGCUAUGAAUGCUCAAUCUCUAAAUGGGCAGCGGUUUCUUGGGUCACAAGUGGUGUUGAAAUGCAUUGCACGGUCUGAGAUGCGGGAGUUCGGUGUGGGGCCCCCAAUGCUUGAAGAGCCAAUGGCAUGUGAAGAAAGGCAUUCUGCACGGAGCAGCAGCGAGGGACCCUAUCCUGGUGACAUGGACUACCCAAACAUGAGGGAACCAUCCCAUGCUGAUAUGCCGAUGGCUAAUCUCCAGGUUCAAAUCCAUGGCGGCAGCAGUAGGGAUUCUCUUGUGCAUUAUCCUCAAGGGGGAGGAAAUGGAUCAUCGCACACAGACAUGGCUCCCCCUGCACAGAAUUUCGAUGGUCCCACUUGCCUAAAGCUUGUCAACUUGCCGUCUCAAAUCAAGAUGGAUGAGGUCUAUGACUUUUGCUAUGGAUAUCGUGUCAUCCCUGGAUCUGUCUCACUGCAGUACAAUAAAAAUGGCAUGCCAAAAGGCUCUGCAACAGUAGUGUUUGAAUCUCGCCAGGAAGCAUUAACGGCAGUUCGAGAACUCAGUGGAAGACCAAUUGGUAAUCGAAAAAUACAGCUUGUUUUUGUGUGAACAUGGGGUGUGGUUUGGGGUUAUGGUAUUUAAAACAAAUGGCAUAUAAUCUUUAAUUAUGUUUUCUUUUUUAUUAAGCCAUUGUUUGUCAAAUUGAUUCUUUAUUUUGAGAUGAUCUUUAACCUUAAGUCAAUGUAUCGUCACUUUAUUUUAUUUUGAAUACAAAUGUUACUCAUAAUUGCUUCACUUAAUUGAACGUUUCACGUGAGCAUUAUUUUGUUUGACAUCUGUUGUGAAAAGAUCUGACACAUACAUUUGGAAAGGGAAUGAAUUUUUUUUAACUAUUUUAGGAGGAAAACCUUAAUGCAAGAUUUACAUCUCAACAUUGACAAUGUAAACAAUUAAACUGUGGUCUUUGCAGACAGGCCAAAUAAUUGAAUUGGUUUGUUACUUAUCAUUGUGUGUAUGCACAUUUUUGCAUAAGAAGUUGUUUAAGGUUUACUUUUCAUUUCCAGUCAUGACUUGAUGCCCCACAAGGCAAAGGCAAAGAAGUAAAGUAUUUUCAAAAAAGGAAAUGUUUUUUUAAUUGUAAGCAAGGUGAGACUUUUAAAAUGUUACCGUCGUUUAUUUCAUAGAAAUUAAACACAGCUAAUACUGUUAUUUAGCUACUACAGAAUCAAAUUGAAGCCCGUCAUUCAAAAAGGAGCACAGGACAAGAAUGGGAGCUGAUCGUUCAUAGGCCCGCCUCUUAUUAAUUGUAUUAUGAAGGGUUCACAGCAUAACUAACCCAGGAACAUUUAUUCAGUUACUACGGUUAGAUUUGUUUUAUUAGUUGACAAUGUUUGAAUUAAGCCAACACCACCCAUGUAUUCAGUUUAAUCGAUGUAGUGUUAUUGGUUUCAUGAUGCAUUGCAUUUCAGGUUUCCAUUUUACCAUGUUAAUACAAAUGUAUUAAUUGACCUGCAUCCAACAAUUUAACAUGGAAAAAAUGCAACAAGACCUUUAUUUAUUGGUCAAUUGUUUUUCUUUAUAGUAAACUUAAUGUGACAAGUGCUCGGGUUUUAAUAAGAUUGCACUAUGGAGAAGGAUCCCGUUAAUGCUGCAGGAAAAGUUAAAUAUAUAAGUAAUUAUUCCGUUUAUAGUUUUUGUUUAAACCAUGCAGGAUGUUCAGAAUAAGGUGGAUGUAAUAAUGUGGGCUCUAAAAGCUGUAAACAUCGACAAAGUCAGUCAACCGGCUGAUUGGUAGGCCUCCGUGGAGGGAUAUCAGACAGAUCCUACUCAGCUGAUUGACAAGCCACCGCGGAGGGAUAUCACUCAUCCCGCUCUGGAAAACCAACAACGAGGGAGUGCAUGUUCCCAGGAGAGACAGGAUGGAGGUAACGUUAGCGAGAAGGAGACUGCAGAAGCACCUGGAGCCGGCUCGACCCCUGCGGCGCAGCACCGUUGACCAGGGGUCUGAUGAUGGACCCGCAGACACGCCUGCGGGCGCACCGGUGGAGCAUGAACAGAAUAUUACUGUAGAGCAAUUCUACAGUAUAAUUCGCCUACACACACCGAAGCAAGGGAGAAUAUCCUACACGAGAGAGGUUCUAUGUGAGCUGGCAUCCUCACCUGUGGCCAAGAAAAAGCCUAAAUAUUUACCAGAGCACCCCAUAGUUUUGGAAAAGGCGGGAGAACAUCAUCUUGUGCUUCAGGAAACUAGAAAGGAAUCCCUUUGAACUUUGGGUGAAAAGAAAAAUCAUUUUUAUGUAUGGCCUUUUCUGACAAAUUUGCUGCUGAAUUGAUUUAUGUUACACAAUUAAAAUUGUAUAUUGUUUAAAUCUCUUUUGGCCUACUUUUUUGAGAAUAUGAUUCUUUGAAAUUAGUUACAGGUUUCUAUUUUCAUUUGAUUGUUUAGUUUAGUACAAGCAAAGGUAAUAUGAAUAAAUGUAUACUUUGUCGCAAACAGCAAUAACAAACAAUGUCCAUGACGAAAAUAUAUAUUUAUAAUAGUCGGUAUCUUCUCGCUAAAUAAAAAAACGCACUUCCGCUGCAGACAUCCACACACAGAAACAUCCACCAGCACAGCGGAAAUCGGAAAAUAAAAAAUAAAAAUCGGAAAAUAAAAUAAAAAUCGGGCGUUACGUAGUGUGUUUACAUAAAUGAACGGGCGUUAAGUAAUGUGUUUACAUAAAUGAACGUAAUAAACUACGUUAUAAAAUCGGAUAAACGCUUCCGGUUUUGGACAGAAGACUUGACACUCGCUGUUGACUUUAAGCUGGAGUUUAUGGCUCUUCUCUUUCUGUAAAUACACACACCUUAUUCAGAAUUCUUAUUCAGAAUUCCCUCUGUGUUAUACUGCAAUCAUCUCAAUUUAAUAUUUGAUAAAACACAAACUGAUACUCGUAUUGUAACGCUGACAGGCAUCAGAGAUUGAGGCUAAUAAUUAUUUUAAAUACAGCAACUAUGAGUGGACAGGAAUAGUUAGAACAAUUCCUUUAUACAGUAGCUUCAUCUUUUCUGACAUAUUUAUAUUAGGUCUAGUUAUGUUACAUUCUGUUGUCUUAAUAUCAUAAGGUUCGACUGCACUCCAACAUAAUUUAUUAUAUGUUAUUAGCACUUUUGCAUUCCUAAAUUCUUACUCUGAACCAUCAUUCAUUUAAUAUCUGGCUCUAAUUGUCUAUAAUAUUGUCUUACCGUGUGCUGCUGGACCACCUUAUUU